Molecule: ribosomal RNA, 497 nt
Filed under: uncultured bacterium
Lineage: Bacteria
Description: partial 16S ribosomal RNA
Rfam family: Bacterial small subunit ribosomal RNA
Source: RNAcentral
GAUGAACGCUGGCGGCGUGCCUAAUACAUGCAAGUCGAGCGAACAGAUGAGGAGCUUGCUCCUCUGACGUUAGCGGCGGACGGGUGAGUAACACGUGGAUAACCUACCUAUAAGACUGGGAUAACUUCGGGAAACCGGAGCUAAUACCGGAUAAUAUAUUGAACCGCAUGGUUCAAUAGUGAAAGACGGUUUUGCUGUCACUUAUAGAUGGAUCCGCGCCGCAUUAGCUAGUUGGUAAGGUAACGGCUUACCAAGGCAACGAUGCGUAGCCGACCUGAGAGGGUGAUCGGCCACACUGGAACUGAGACACGGUCCAGACUCCUACGGGAGGCAGCAGUAGGGAAUCUUCCGCAAUGGGCGAAAGCCUGACGGAGCAACGCCGCGUGAGUGAUGAAGGUCUUCGGAUCGUAAAACUCUGUUAUUAGGGAAGAACAAAUGUGUAAGUAACUAUGCUCGUCUUGACGGUACCUAAUCAGAAAGCCACGGCUAACUACGUG